CGUGUUCGUUAUCUUUACCAGUAGGUGGAGCUGCCACGUUAGGUGCCGCUUUUUUUCAUUUCUUCUCCCCCUUCGCUCCCCCACCCUUCGCCCUCCCUCUUCCUAAUAAGCUGUUUUCUGAUACAUGUUGGGUACCAUAGAGUGAGAGGGAACAGGAAGCGGAGGCAGAAUCGGGGAGGAUUCUGGAAAGGUCUCUGUGUUUUCUUUUCCACUGAGAAUACAGAAAUUACGAUUAAUUAGUAAAGCUUCGUGGAUGGAAAUCUGUACAAUUUCAGCAGGGGAUACAUAUUGUCACGUUAUUUUUGGAUGCUGGGCUUUGCAGUGAUUUUUCAUUCUCCUUUAAUCAGAGGCAUGGACACAUUCUUCCACAGAACAAUGUAACGACAACAGUCUUUUCCUUAGGUUGGAAAAAUGGGGCUAUAUGGAGACAUAAAUUUAUCUUUGCCUACUGCAAUUGA
Molecule: long non-coding RNA, 458 nt
Filed under: Coturnix japonica (Japanese quail)
Lineage: Eukaryota; Metazoa; Chordata; Aves; Galliformes; Phasianidae
Description: lncRNA (ENSCJPG00005019255.1)
Source: RNAcentral